This 200-nucleotide unclassified non-coding RNA is filed under the name Oidiodendron sp. RNAcentral describes it as "partial internal transcribed spacer 2". The record is from RNAcentral. Lineage: Eukaryota; Fungi; Ascomycota; Leotiomycetes; Myxotrichaceae.
UUAAGUUCAGCGGGUAUCCCUACCUGAUCCGAGGUCAACCACGAGAGUUGGGGUUCUGGCAGGCUACCACCGGGCACUGGAGCGAGAGACGUACUACGCUCAGGGCCAGGCGGCACCGCCACUGUCUUUAGGGCCGGCCGCAGCGGGCAGGGCCCAACACCAAGCAGAGCUUGAGGGUUGAAAUGACGCUCGAACAGGCA